This 166-nucleotide non-coding RNA is filed under the name Pelagodinium bei. Lineage: Eukaryota; Dinophyceae; Suessiales; Suessiaceae. The record is from RNAcentral.
UUCUGCGUGUGCUGACCCAAUGUGGUGAUGGCGAGCCGCAUGACUUGGAGGAAUGCGAUGACGGCAACCUUGACAAUAAUGAUGGAUGCAGCGACAAGUGCGUGGUCGAACUUGCCUGGGUCUGCCAGGCAGUACCUGCUGGACUUUACGCAGAUGGCUGGGGUCG